Molecule: non-coding RNA, 27 nt
Filed under: Bombyx mori (domestic silkworm)
Lineage: Eukaryota; Metazoa; Arthropoda; Insecta; Lepidoptera; Bombycidae
Source: RNAcentral
UAAAGUAGGGUUCAACUUUCUAAUUUC